AACGAACGCUGGCGGCAUGCCUAACACAGGCCAGUCGAACGAGACCUUCGGGUCUAGUGGCGCACGGGUGCGUAACGCGUGGGAACCUGCCCUUAGGUUCGGAAUAACUCCCCGAAAGGGGUGCUAAUACCGGAUAAUGUCUUCGGACCAAAGAUUUAUCGCCUUUGGAUGGGCCCGCGUUGGAUUAGCUAGUUGGUAGGGUAAAAGCCUACCAAGGCGACGAUCCAUAGCUGGUCUGAGAGGAUGAUCAGCCACACUGGGACUGAGACACGGCCCAGACUCCUACGGGAGGCAGCAGUGGGGAAUAUUGGACAAUGGGCGAAAGCCUGAUCCAGCAAUGCCGCGUGAGUGAUGAAGGCCUUAGGGUUGUAAAGCUCUUUUACCCGGGAUGAUAAUGACAGUACCGGGAGAAUAAGCUCCGGCUAACUCCGUG
This 433-nucleotide ribosomal RNA is filed under the name uncultured bacterium. RNAcentral's name for it is "partial 16S ribosomal RNA". It matches the Rfam family "Bacterial small subunit ribosomal RNA", at positions 29 to 507 of the family's 1533-position model. The record is from RNAcentral.